ACCACUGCUAAUCUAUACUGCUGUCAAUCUAUCUAUCACUGCUAAUCUAUUGCUGCUAAUCUAUCACUGCUGUCAAUCUAUCUACUGCUGUCAAUCUAUCUAUCACUGUCAAUCUAUCUACCACUGCUAAUUUAUCACUGCUAAUCUAUUGCUGCUGCUAAUCUAUCUACUGCUGUUAAUUUAUCUAUUGCUGCUAAUCUAUCACUGCUGUCAAUUUAUCUACUGCUGUCAAUCUAUCUAUUGCUGUCAAUCUAUCUACUACUGCUAAUCUAUCACUACUAAUCUAUUACUACUGUCAAUCUAUCUACUGCUGUCAAUCUAUCUACUGCUGUUAAUCUAUUACUGUUAAUCUAUCACUGCUAAUCUAUCACUGCUAAUCUAUUGCUGUCAAUCUAUCUACUGCUGUCAAUCUAUCUAUCACUGUCAAUCUAUCUACCACUGUUAAUCUAUCGCUGCUAAUCUAUCACUGUUAAUCUAUCACUGCUAAUCUAUCGCCGUCAAUCUAUCUACUGCUGCCAAUCUAUCUACUGCUGCCAAUCUAUCUAUCACUGCC
This 553-nucleotide small RNA is filed under the name Histoplasma capsulatum. RNAcentral's name for it is "hypothetical RNA". Lineage: Eukaryota; Fungi; Ascomycota; Eurotiomycetes; Onygenales; Ajellomycetaceae. The record is from RNAcentral. RNAcentral also lists the same sequence under 1 other name.